GCGACCCCGGCGGACACGGCCGAGCUCAGGCCCCGACCCGGAAGCGGAGCUGCUCAAGCGGGAAGCCGGUCCAGAGGGGGCGGGGGAGCAUCGCGCAGGCGCCGGCUCAGCCUCGGCACGCCCCGCCCCUGCCCAGGCGACGGCCAAUGUUACAGGUGUACUUGUGACCAGCAGCACUUCCUCAGAGACGCCUUUGCUGUUCAGCAGUGCUCUAGCAGAGCAGCAAUUAGUGCCACUACACACGUGGCUGUUGUGAGGGUGUUCCCAUCCUUAAACCUGCACUGUUUAUGGUGAGUUCUGAAGCCAGGAGAGGAGGAGUCCAGUCAGGUUCCAAAGCAGUACUCUGAAAGAAAGAAGCACUGAAAUCAAUUUGCCAGUGACACAUGCAUGGAAAAGGAUAAAGUGAGACCUUAUCUGGGCAGAGAAUCAUGGAGAAUGGAAGGAGAAAGGAAGUUUGGAUGUAUGCGAAGCUGCAAUGGUGCUCAAGUAUAUUGAUGUGAAAGAGUAAAGGAGAAGAAAGGGGGAAAGGCAGGUGGUAUGGCAGACACAUGGGGCAUAUGAUGGAGUAGGAAAAGCAGAGGGAUGAUGAGUGAAGCAGUUGCCACAAAUAAGGAAGCAAAUGUGGAAGAGCUGGAACAGUAAUUUGAAAAGUUGGAGACAUAUGGAUGAUUUUCAGGAGCACAGAGAUAUGGGGAAUGCAGAAAGCAUGAGCUGCUGAAGAUUAGCAGGAUUAGGGGCUCCUGUGAGCCAGGAGAUCAGGGUCUCAGCAGGUUUUCAGUGCUUUGCCCUUUGUUUACAUAGCAGUGUGGAUGGGAGGGGUGGAAGUGCCCACUGCUUGGGAUAGGGGAACAGUCUUCCUGACACCCUGGGACUGUUCUGUCCAACAGCCGAGUCACAGCAGCCACUGUGUAGAUAAAGCAGGUUCUUCCCAAAAGCCUCAGGAAGGUCUGAAAAUGUACAGCCCCCAUAAAAAUUAAAAUUGAUAGCUGGAGGUGUAUAGUUGGAAGGAGGGCAAGGUAAUUCUAUUAGAGAAGCUUGAAAAUAGUGAUCUUAUUUGCAUGCAGAUGACCAAGUAUGCAUAGUCCUUAUUUAAUGAUUGUAUUUCAAGUAAUAGAGUCAGCAAUGAAAAACAAGUGGUGAAGUAUUACAAUGUUUGGUUGAGUCAUUGAAUUGCCUGUGACCUCAGAGCUAAGACUAACCUGGACUGUGGGGGUGAUCCUAAUUACAACCUUACUAUUAGAUAUGCAAUUACCAAUCUAUAAUUACGAGCUAAAUUUUAGAACACUGACUGUUACUCUGUUUACAGUGAAAUCUGGCUUCUGAAUAUAAGAAUAUUACUAAAUGUGACAAAAUUAAAAAUAAAUUCAUUCUUCAGUGAACAAAAUAUAUCUUUAAAUACUUUCUCUGAAAAAGUAAGUAAAACACCCAGUCGUGUUUCAUGAAAAGUAAUGAUUAUCGUUAGAUACUAAUUACCCUUACUGUGAAAAAGAUCAUAUAGCAACAGAAGGCUGGUUAACCAUGGUGGCAUCUCUGUGAUAACUCAACAAUCUUAAAGGCAGGAAGGCAAAAAGGAAACUUUUUACUAAGAAUCCUGUAUUAAAGAUAUCCUGUCAGCCUUAUGCAUGAGAUGGAUUCUUUCUAGCAGAACAUUUCAUAGGUAAGGGGGCCAUCCUAAAGGCUCAUGAGGCUCUGGAUGCAACAUCUGCCCAUUCCUUAUGCCACUCACGUGAACCAGUCUGACAUGCUGGACUUCCUGCUGCUGUAGAGUGCAUGCUGCAUGGCAUGUCCAGUGAGGUCAGUCUCCCUGAGGAUCCCACUUGUGUGCAGGAGGUUCAGGGCCUCUGACAGAGAGCAUCACAUGGCUUGGCUGUGUGCUUGCAUGAUUGCUAAAUGUAGUGUAAGACAGGCAACAAGAGAAUGGGGGAGAUGAGGAGCAGGUUUUUCCUUUCAGUCACAACUUGGUCUUCAAAGUGUCAGCAUGACAUGAAGCUGCACCAUGAGUCAGAACCUCCUGAGCACUACUUGUGGCCUCCAUAUCAACUCCAGUGAUGGCUGCAAGCAGCUAAAUUAACUGCAGGGUUGGUAUCUGUGAGGUACAAAGUGUGGUAGCUAGGUGCUUGAGAGCACUCUAAGUUUCAAUUAUAAUGUUUGCUAACUAUUAAUUAAGUGUUUUAAGUUUGAAAGUGUUGAUUAGAAAUGCCUGAAUGUUGAAUCAUUGUGUUCUAGUUGUACACUGUUGCAUGUCCCAAAGAUUCAUUCAACCAACAAUCAACAGAUUUAUAUAUCCAAAAAUCAAGACAGCAGAGUGUUGCAGUCAGCAACCUCAGGAUCUCGUCCAGGGAAGCAGCAGGAUUCUGGGGACCAGCAUGGAACACCAACUGAAAUGGGCUCCUGUUCAUGAAACCAUUUAUUCAGCAUGAGAACAAGCUCAGGCCAAGAACAGAGAGCUCCGAACAGAGGCACAGCAGGGGUUUUUGAGGGACAGAACCCCCAGGGUCUCUACCCUUGAGGGUGGAGUUCAGGGUCAGGGACC
Long non-coding RNA from Poecile atricapillus (Black-capped chickadee), 2533 nucleotides. RefSeq lists it as uncharacterized. The transcript is spliced from 3 exons. Lineage: Eukaryota; Metazoa; Chordata; Aves; Passeriformes; Paridae. The record is from RefSeq and is a predicted model, not a curated record.